This 460-nucleotide ribosomal RNA is filed under the name uncultured bacterium. RNAcentral describes it as "partial 16S ribosomal RNA". It matches the Rfam family "Bacterial small subunit ribosomal RNA", at positions 338 to 795 of the family's 1533-position model. The record is from RNAcentral.
CCUACGGGAGGCAGCAGUGAGGAAUAUUGGUCAAUGGCCGGAAGGCUGAACCAGCCAUGCCGCGUGAAGGUCAGUGCCCUAUGGGCGUUAAACUUCUUUUGUGCGGGAGCAAUAAUGGUCACGUGUGGCCAGACGAGAGUACCGUACGAAUAAGCAUCGGCUAACUCCGUUCCAGCAGCCGCGGUAAUACGGGGGAUGCAAGCGUUAUCCGGAUUUAUUGGGUUUAAAGGGUGCGUAGGCUGUGAGGUAAGUCAGCGGUGAAAUGCCCCCGCUCAACGGGGUGAAGUGCCAUUGAUACUGCCUGGCUGGAAUGCGGAUGCCGUGGGAGGAAUGUGUGGUGUAGCGGUGAAAUGCAUAGAUAUCACACAGAACACCGAUUGCGAAGGCAUCUCACGAAGCCGCGAUUGACGCUGAUGCACGAAAGCGUGGGUAUCAAACAGGAUUAGAUACCCCUGUAGUC